This 472-nucleotide ribosomal RNA is filed under the name uncultured bacterium. RNAcentral's name for it is "bacterial SSU rRNA". It matches the Rfam family "Bacterial small subunit ribosomal RNA", at positions 8 to 526 of the family's 1533-position model. The record is from RNAcentral.
AGAGUUUGAUCCUGGCUCAGAACGAACGCUGGCGGCAGGCUUAACACAUGCAAGUCGAACGGUCUCUUCGGAGGCAGUGGCAGACGGGUGAGUAACGCGUGGGAAUCUACCUAGUUCUACGGAACAACAGAGGGAAACUUCUGCUAAUACCGUAUACGCCCUACGGGGGAAAGAUUUAUCGGAAUUAGAUGAGCCCGCGUAAGAUUAGCUAGUUGGUGGGGUAAUGGCCUACCAAGGCGACGAUCUUUAGCUGGUCUGAGAGGAUGAUCAGCCACACUGGGACUGAGACACGGCCCAGACUCCUACGGGAGGCAGCAGUGGGGAAUAUUGGACAAUGGGCGAAAGCCUGAUCCAGCCAUGCCGCGUGAGUGAUGAAGGCCUUAGGGUUGUAAAGCUCUUUCAGUAGGGAAGAUAAUGACGGUACCUACAGAAGAAGCCCCGGCUAACUUCGUGCCAGCCGCCGCGGUAAUAC